UCGUCAGGUGGGAUAAUCCUUACCUGUUUCUCCGUUUGGAGAACAGCUAGAAUAUGAUGAUUGGAGUAUGCAUGAUGCGUGAUUAACGUUUAUGCGUAAUCAGGGCUUGCAACACUCUGAUUGCUCCUAUCUGAU
This is a small nucleolar RNA of Heterocephalus glaber (naked mole-rat), 135 nucleotides long. Its record names the gene U8. It matches the Rfam family "U8 small nucleolar RNA". From Rfam's summary of the family: U8 is a member of the C/D class of snoRNA which contain the C (UGAUGA) and D (CUGA) box motifs. U8 is the RNA component of a small complex (the U8 snoRNP) which is required for accumulation of mature large subunit ribosomal RNAs, 5.8S and 28S rRNAs. U8 RNA has been identified in human, mouse, rat and Xenopus. The record is from Ensembl. NCBI's taxonomy places the organism in Eukaryota, Metazoa, Chordata, Mammalia, Rodentia, Bathyergidae.